RNAcentral lists this ribosomal RNA (1502 nucleotides) under Triticum aestivum (bread wheat). Its description in RNAcentral is "partial small subunit ribosomal RNA". The record is from RNAcentral. Lineage: Eukaryota; Viridiplantae; Streptophyta; Magnoliopsida; Poales; Poaceae.
CUUCUUGCUUCAGGGGAGGGUUUUGGGAACGAACGAUAAGGUAUGCGGUGUUCUCGGUACUCGCGGCGGUCGAGCCUGAGGCGACUUUAGCGGUGACGGAGGUUUGCGGGCAAGCUAGGGAUGGAACGGCUGGGCAGCGGCGGAAGGUUUGAGGUCGCCAAGAGGGUCAGUUUGUAGAGCGGCCGCCUGCGUCUGUCGCCGCCUCUCCGCCCGCGGCUUUCGCUCCGCUACCGGCCGCGCGCCGAGAGGGCCUGCGUCGCUAUGGACCAGCGGCACCUCAUGCUACCGUGGGCGAAGAGACCAAGGGUCGUCGUCGGCUUGGUCGCGUGGCAGCAUCCGCAGGAGUUCCUCCGUAAAGUGUUUAAGUAACCCGUCGGUCAGAGUUAGAAGACAAGAUCAGCUUGCCUACGUCCACAAGUACGAAACAGUUUACAAACAGUACAACUACACCUCGCGUAUUCAUUUUCCUUCGGACCACUUCACAACGGUGGAGUACUGGGACUUCAACAUUUUACGCGCCACUUGGUAAAAAAUGUAUUCUUACUUCCACUGUAUUACCACUGACUACAAGCAACACAACGUGGUCUAAAGGUACGAUCUAUGUUUCGAGAUCUCGCGUGUAUAGUGAUAGCAAAUGAAAGACCCGGACUCGCUGGCAGUUAGAAACUCUUUUUGAGCCGAACCGUGUAUGGACUCCUAGAUUUAUAUGUUCGAUACUUCUUUCGUACGUUAUAUGAACAACCCGUAGUACUAAAGUCAAGUAAAGCUCGUAAACCUACAGUCCGUUUUAGAGGUCACUCUUGAAACCUACUCGAAUGACAAUGUCUUCAUAAAGGACAGUACAAAAAAGGAAGUUCGAAUCUCGCUAGUCUCUACCUUAGUGGUCUACCCAGAGAACAAAUAAGUUCCCGUAGUGAGUACCCUAGAAGACCUCUUCCUAGACUACAAAGAUCAUGAUGAUCACCCUUUAGUCAUACGCUCUUACCCGUUCUCAAACCUUUCUCUAAUUCCGUGGCGACGAAACAACAAUGACGUUCCCGUGUCAGAAAGGAAAUGGUGGUCCAUUCUAACUACCAGCCAGAAGACUUUCGACAACCUUAUCCUCUAGAUUGUUGACGACUACACCUCUCUUAAGACCUACGUUUCUGUUACUGACGACGUGGAGGAUACCGUGGACGAAUGCCCGAAAUGGAACUGUUGCACUUUAUACUGGGCUGACAAAUUUCACUAAAACUCGAACUCAAAACAAUCGAUAACCUAUACAUCCUAUUCAAAAAGCUUAGUUACCUACUUACUUCACAACUUUCUUCUACAGUGUUUCCUUGGACCGAACAGUAGAAAACAAGUCUUAAUACACAAAGGGUAUUAUAUGAAAACACUCUACGUAAAGAAUAACAUCACUCAAAGACGUAGUUCUCCCAGUCUAUCAAUCGGCUCAUUGUAAGACCAAUGGACUUAACUCCCAACUUACUGAUAGGUAUAGCCCUUAUUAAAAACGCGUG